CAAGGAAUGAUGCUGUUAUCUCAAAAAUUAUUUUUCUUGUAACAGCAAUUUUUGGCUGAGGGCUGCUGGUGAGGGCUCUAUAUGGCGCAGAUGCCCAUUUUAUUAUUUUGACUUAAUAUAUAUAUUAUCCCUAUUUACAACAAAACCAUGCUUAUUCCCAACUAAAUAUGUUUAGCAUUAGGCAGCAGAGGCAAACUUCAAUUUCUUCCAAAGAGAUUAUUUAUUGCCUUCCACAUAUGCCCCAUGGUGACAAUAAAAACAGCUUAAAACAGUUACAGAAAUAACAGAUGAUUUUAAAAAACAAUACAAAAUGGACACCUCUCACAGAGACCCAGCUGCCAAAGGAUUGACAGAACCAAAAUGUCUUCAAUUGUUUCCAAGAGGUGCCGAUAGUGUGCAUAGUUUAAAUGAGUUAAAAUGUGAAACAGCCUUGGUUCUUUUUGAGUAUUUAUUUUCUUUCUUUUAAAGAAUGGGUGCGGCAAAGUGUUUUGUUUGUUCUUUCAUUGCUCUAGCACAUCAGGAAAAUGGAAGCAGCUGUAAAUGACCAUGUAAAGUCCCCCCCCCCCCGUCCGCCAAGACCAUAAACUCCAGAGUCUAAAAUAACUGCAUGGACCACUGAACAAGCUGUAGAUCAGGCAUGCACUGAUUCCCCAUUGUAAACAAUGUACUUCAUUUUCCAGCAGUACCCACAGAAGAACAAAUUGUGGCCCAGAUGUUUAAGAUCCCAUCCAAAUAACUUUAUUGUGCUAGCCAUUGGCCAUGACAAAUCUGAAUCAAAAAUAAAUACAAGCAGAAGGGGUGUCACACCACAAAUAAUGGUCUCUGUUUAGAUCUCUGUGUCUCCCUUUCAGUUCACUGCUAUAUUGUUCAGGGUCUUCUUUCUGAUCUGUUUGGCCGCCAAGGCAAAAAGGGUGACUUUAUGCAUCACUGAAGCAUUUACAUUGCUGAGAAGCCAUAGGACCUUCUCUGCGGGGGAGAGACAUCUUUCCUGUAUGGACGGUAAGAUGAGAAGUCACCUCCUGGGUCAAAUGUUUAGUUGGCAAUGUAGUAAACAGUGCAAGAUGUCUUCCAUAUCAUUGGGAACAGGGACAAACUUUGGUCUUUCUAAUUUCAGCAGCACUCUUUGCAAGGCCAAAAUUCCCCUCCCUGACCUCUUGCCUUCUGUUCUGCUCAAAUCACUAGGUCAUAGUUGCUCCGCCCUGUGGCGCCCCCUAGCCUUGGCACCCAGUGUGGCAGAACCGUUCGUGCUGCCCUAAAUCCGCCUCUUUUCCUGAACCUUCCCUAGUUUUCUGAUCAAAACACGCAUGCUUCUCAAGGGUUGCAUAAGGUAGGGCUAAGUCAGUUUCAGACCAUUAAGCACACCUAUUAUAAAGGAACUGCUCUGUGGUUGUUGUUUUUCUUACAGCCAAGGGGUAUAGAAAUUCACUGAAACAUUUACAUCGCUAAGAAGCCAUAGGACCUUCUGUGCCGGGGAGAGACAUCUUUCCUGUAUGGAUGGUAGGGUGAGAAAUCGCCUCCUGGGUCCAAUGUAUAGUGGGCAAUAUAGUAAACAGUGCAAGAUGUCUUCCACCUGUGGUUGCCCACAUAUGCAGAGUUUCUCUUCAUUAUGGUACCCUGUUGUACCCUCUUCUAGGACGGCAGAGGGCAGAGCUUGAAAAUGCAGCUUAGGAAAAGCAAAUCUUAGCGAGGCUGGGUGAAGAUUCGACAAGUAACUGGCUCUAAACUGGACUGUUUUUAAAAGGGGUGUUUACAUUACAGAGUAACAUUCAGCAACCAGCUCUAAGCCUUUGGAAUUGCACAGGGUAGGAAAUCUGCCUAGACAACUAGUAAAAACAUAACUGCAUCUCAUUUCUUAUUUUGUGUUACCAUUUUAGUUCUGUGUGGUGGGGGCAGAUGGAGGGCUGAGGGAAAUCCACCGGUAAACUUCUUCAGUGAUUUUCAGUACAGUGGUGCCUCGCAAGACGAAAUUAAUCCGUUCCGCAAGUGUCUUCGUCUAGUGGUUUUUUCGUCUUGCGAAGCAACCCUAUUAGCGGCUUAGCGGAUUAGCGCUAUUAGCAGUUUAGCAGCUAUUAAAGGCUUGUCGGCUUAGUGGCUUAGCUGCCAGAAGGCUAUUAGCGGCUUAGCGGCUUAGAAAAAGGGGGGGGGAGCGAAAAAAAAUCUCAAGACUCGCAAGACAUUUUCGUCUUGCGAAGCAAGCCCAUAGGGAAAUUCGUCCUGCGAAGCAACUCAAAAACGGAAAACCCUUUCGUCUAGCGGGUUUUCCGUCUUGCGAGGCAUUUGUCUUGCGGGGCACCACUGUACAUUGACGAAGAAUUCUGACACCCAGCUGUUUAACAACAGCAAGAACAAAGACACUUCCCUCUUUAAAUGAGGCUACCAAAAUGAAAAAAAAACCCUGUGGGGAUAACCAGAAGUGGCUGUUUGUGUAGACGGUGAGCUCAGGUUUGGUACUGCAAGUAAAUUCCUGGCCUCUGUUCCUUAAUUCUAAGUAUGUAUCUACCUCCGAAGCCACUAUUGCAUCUGGCUCUGCUUAGUAGACUUCAGGGUUCUAAUAAAAAUAUAUCAAAGUAGAUCUUGCAAGCAUGAAGUCUCUCUCCCACUGCCUUGCUAUCUGAGAUUCAGGUUGGAUUUAUUUUCUACUCCAUGCGUAAGAAUCAAUGUUGAACAUCCCCCAGGAAUUAUAGGUUCAGCUGAAACCUUUUCCAUAACUCCUGUUCUGAUUUAUUUUAUAUAUGGUUCAUGACAGUUGAAGGGUGAAAAGUUGAAAGCCGGUAUCAGUUCCUCCAAAAUGGGCACGGCUGGGGGAGGGUAGAUGAUAUGUGUAUUCCCUGCAGCAGAUCCGACCUUAAACAAAAUAUUUCUACCCAUUUGCUGAAGUGUUUGCCAUUUCAAUUUGAAACCGGGUGGGAUGUUAAAAAGUGCUGGCUCUGGCCACGUGUGCUCAUUAAAGAUCCCCAUGGCACUUUUGGAACAAAUGAAACCAAAUUCUAGAGAGAGCUUUCUAUUUUGUCUACCCAAAUCCCCAUUGGCUUUUAAAGUGGAUAAGCUGUUCUUCAGCAUCACUCCUGAGAAACCCUUGUUAACCUAGCAAGAUGACAGGGAAUAUUGCUGCUUGUAGCUCACACGGAAAUAAGUACACUGGAUAAAACAAUGUGGUGCAGCCAUUUCACCCCAUGCCAUAUAGCCCAAAAUCUGCAAGUAGUUUGAUCAUACCGUUGCUUUCAGUGGGUGUGUUCAGAUAAUGCGACACAGACCGUUUUCUCCUCGCCUUCCUUUUUAUGUGCUUCUGGGCCUGCUCUCCAGCUCAUUUCCUCACUCCCCCCUCCCCGCCCCUCACAGGGCAGCUGUGAUAGAGGGGGAAUGCAAGCCUGAGGCAGUCUCUCAACCUCUCUUCAGGUAGAAUCCCAUUUACAACAUGUUUAAUCCACUUUCCCCAUGAAAGUCACUUCUGUCAACACAAAGUGUACAGCCACCAUAUGAAAAACAAGGUAGUCACAGAAUAUUAAGAUCUAUAUCUAUCCAGCACCUUUCAAAAUAGACAGGGAGAGCUCAACUUGUAGAGCCACCCCAGGGUCAUGGGUUCAAGCUCCACAUGGGGGUUGGACUAGAUUACCCCCGUGGUCCCUUCCAACUUUACAAUUCUAAGAUUCUAUGAAUUUAAGAGCAUCUCUUCAAAUAUACGCUGUGGAUACAUGUUGGCAAAAUAUUUGAGAUUUUCCUGUAUUCAUGGAUUUUUUUGGGGGUGCUAAAUUUAGACUAGCUUCACUCUGAGGUUUUCUGCUGCACAGAGUGGGCCCUUAACAUGCAAAUGAGGCCUUCUAAGGAAUGUCACCAUGCUGUCCAUUACAUAUGAUCCUGGCUCUGUGUCCUACUGGACAAAAGAAUGUUCUGGUGGAAGUGCUGUCCAGUCCAAAUCUAGUUUAACUAUAAAGAACCAACCAUAAGGAGAACUACGCAGCAACCUGAGCAAACUUUCAAGUCAAGUGAUCAUAGUCUGCCUCACCAUGGUGAGAUGUGUUGUAAUUUCUAUUUAAAUCAUAGUAAUUUCAUCUAAAUUUGCAUCUAUGUGUAUAAAUUAGCAUUUGCAUGUUUUAUGCAAAUCUGUUCCACUUUUUGUCUUCCUUUGUGCGUAUGUGAUGCCGUCAUCCUUUUUUGGUGAUGCAAAAGAAGCCACCCUGCUAUAUGCCAGCAUUCCAGUUUAUAAUAAUUAGUAAUAAUAAUUUUUUAUUAGCAGUCAUGAAAUUAAAAGACGCCCGCUUCUUGGGAGAAAGGCAAUGACAAACCUAGACAGCAUCUUAAAAAGCAGAGAAAUCACCUUGCCAAAAAAGGUCCGUAUAGUUAAAGCCAUGGUUUUCCCAGUAGUGAUGUAUGGAAGUGAGAGCUGGACCAUAAAGAAGGCUGAUCGCCGAAGAAUUGAUGCUUUUGAAUUAUGGUGCUGGAGGAGACUCUUGAGAGUCCCAUGGACUGCAAGAAGAUCAAACCUAUCCAUUCUUAAGGAAAUCAGCCCUGAGUGCUCACUGGAAGGACAGAUCCUGAAGCUGAGGCUCCAGUACUUUGGCCACCUCAUGAGAAGAGAAGACUUCCUGGAAAAGACCCUGAUGUUGGGAAAUAUUGAGGAUACAAGGAGAAGGGGACAACAGAGGAUGAGAUGGUUGGACAGUGUUCUCGAAGCUACCAGCAUGAGUUUGACCAAACUGCGGGAGGCAGUGAAAGACAGCAGGGCCUGGCGUGCUCUGGUCCAUGGG
RNAcentral lists this long non-coding RNA (4745 nucleotides) under Podarcis lilfordi (Lilford's wall lizard). The record is from RNAcentral. Lineage: Eukaryota; Metazoa; Chordata; Lepidosauria; Squamata; Lacertidae.